RNAcentral lists this transfer-messenger RNA (366 nucleotides) under Alcaligenaceae bacterium. It matches the Rfam family "transfer-messenger RNA". Rfam says of the family: Bacterial tmRNA, also known as 10Sa RNA or SsrA, is named for its dual tRNA and mRNA-like properties. Its role is to liberate the mRNA from a stalled ribosome. The record is from RNAcentral. Lineage: Bacteria; Pseudomonadati; Pseudomonadota; Betaproteobacteria; Burkholderiales; Alcaligenaceae.
GGGGCCGACUUGGCUUCGACGUGGGUCACAAAACAGCGCAGGGCGUGCCGAGCACCAGUCAGCUCGUAAAUCCACUGGAACACUACAAACGCCAACGACGAGCGUUUCGCUUUAGCCGCUUAAUGCGGUAAGCCGUUGCACUGAUUUGUCUUUGGGUCAGGUGGGGUAACACCCACAGCAACGUCAUUCACAAAGAAUCGGGUUACGCCAGGUCACUGGGUGGCGCCUUAAAACAGUGUGAAUCGCCAAGGAAGGGCCUGUCGGCUGGCAUGAUCCAAGGCUAAAGCACAAAAUCAACCGACUACGCAUGUAGAACUGCCUGCAGAGGGCUUGCGGACGGGGGUUCAAUUCCCCCCGGCUCCACCA